AUCGCUUCUCAGCCUUUUGGCUAAGAUCAAGUGUAGUAUCUGUUCUUAUCAGUUUAAAACUGAAAAAUUAUGAGAACAAUGGGAAAAGCUGUUUACAAGUUUAAAGGUAGUAUCUAAA
RNAcentral lists this small nuclear RNA (118 nucleotides) under Suricata suricatta (meerkat). Its description in RNAcentral is "U2 spliceosomal RNA (ENSSSUG00005008675.1)". It matches the Rfam family "U2 spliceosomal RNA". From Rfam's summary of the family: U2 is a small nuclear RNA (snRNA) component of the spliceosome (involved in pre-mRNA splicing). Complementary binding between U2 snRNA (in an area lying towards the 5' end but 3' to hairpin I) and the branchpoint sequence (BPS) of the intron results the bulging out of an unpaired adenosine, on the BPS, which initiates a nucleophilic attack at the intronic 5' splice site, thus starting the first of two transesterification reactions that mediate splicing. The record is from Rfam by way of RNAcentral. Lineage: Eukaryota; Metazoa; Chordata; Mammalia; Carnivora; Herpestidae.